This 600-nucleotide ribosomal RNA is filed under the name uncultured Enterobacter sp. Its description in RNAcentral is "bacterial SSU rRNA". It matches the Rfam family "Bacterial small subunit ribosomal RNA", at positions 131 to 723 of the family's 1533-position model. Lineage: Bacteria; Pseudomonadati; Pseudomonadota; Gammaproteobacteria; Enterobacterales; Enterobacteriaceae. The record is from RNAcentral.
UGAUGGAGGGGGAUAACUACUGGAAACGGUAGCUAAUACCGCAUAACGUCGCAAGACCAAAGAGGGGGACCUUCGGGCCUCUUGCCAUCGGAUGUGCCCAGAUGGGAUUAGCUAGUAGGUGGGGUAACGGCUCACCUAGGCGACGAUCCCUAGCUGGUCUGAGAGGAUGACCAGCCACACUGGAACUGAGACACGGUCCAGACUCCUACGGGAGGCAGCAGUGGGGAAUAUUGCACAAUGGGCGCAAGCCUGAUGCAGCCAUGCCGCGUGUAUGAAGAAGGCCUUCGGGUUGUAAAGUACUUUCAGCGGGGAGGAAGGCGAUAAGGUUAAUAACCUUGUCGAUUGACGUUACCCGCAGAAGAAGCACCGGCUAACUCCGUGCCAGCAGCCGCGGUAAUACGGGAGGGUGCAAGCGUUAAUCGGGAAUUACUGGGCGUAAAAGCGCACGCAGGCGGUCUGUCAAGUCGGAUGUGAAAUCCCCGGGCUCAACCUGGGGAACUGCAUUCGAAACUGGCAGGCUAGAGUCUUGUAGAGGGGGGUAGAAUUCCAGGUGUAGCGGUGAAUGCGUAGAGAUCUGGAGGAAUACCGGUGGCGAAGGCG